This is a long non-coding RNA of Populus trichocarpa (black cottonwood), 176 nucleotides long. RefSeq lists it as uncharacterized. The transcript is spliced from 3 exons. The record is from RefSeq and is a predicted model, not a curated record. NCBI's taxonomy places the organism in Eukaryota, Viridiplantae, Streptophyta, Magnoliopsida, Malpighiales, Salicaceae.
CUCUCCGGCAAUAAGUUAGUGGGGACCUUGCCAGAGGCACUUGCGCAGAUAAAAGACUUGAAGGAUUUUCGCGUAAGUGAUAAUAAUCUUAAUGGCACCGUACCCGAGUUCAUUGGGAACUGCACUCAACUUCAAAAGCUUGAAUUGUACGCGACUGGAUUGCAAGGACCCAUACC